This is a non-coding RNA of Misgurnus anguillicaudatus (oriental weatherfish), 606 nucleotides long. The record is from the annotation of a RefSeq genome assembly. NCBI's taxonomy places the organism in Eukaryota, Metazoa, Chordata, Actinopteri, Cypriniformes, Cobitidae.
CAGACAGGGUCACAUAUGCAGAAUUAGAUUUUUAGUUUUUAGUUAGUCUAAUACAGUGAACCUGAUGUUUGUUCAUGUCUAUCAUUAUAAGAGAACUACUGUAUGUCAAGGGGCGGAGCUUAACACAUGCCUGUAAAAUACAGAGAUCUCUAACGCUGAUCACAGAACUGAGACAAGCAGAUGUGUUUGAACCUGAUUUUUACUACCAUAAUGUUAACUUGUCUACUAAUAUUGCUGACUGUAACUGAAGGUUACAGAGCUAAAGAAGUCAUCAGUCCUUACAAAGAUGCAGUAUUUGCCACUGAGACAGAGAGUGUGACACUGUCUUGUAACUACACUGGAUCAGUUUAUAGUCUUCUCUGGUAUCGACAAUAUGGAGCAUCACCACCACAGUUCCUUAUACUGGAUUACUCAGGAUUCAUUACUGAAGCUAAUCCUCCAGUUUCAGGAAUCUCCAUCAAACACAGAAAAGCUGACAGCAGUGUGGAUCUGAAGAUCUCAUCUGUUGAAGUCAAAGACUCUGCUCUGUAUUAUUGUGUGCUGACGCCCACAGUGACAGGAAACACAACAACACUGUACAAAAACCUCACUGACUCACAGUUUUAG